RNAcentral lists this ribosomal RNA (253 nucleotides) under uncultured bacterium. RNAcentral describes it as "partial 16S ribosomal RNA". It matches the Rfam family "Bacterial small subunit ribosomal RNA", at positions 524 to 776 of the family's 1533-position model. The record is from RNAcentral.
UACGUAGGUGGCAAGCGUUGUCCGGAUUUAUUGGGCGUAAAGAGCGUGUAGGCGGCUAGGUAGGUCCGUUGUGAAAACUCGAGGCUCAACCUCGAGACGCCGAUGGAAACCAUCUAGCUAGAGUCCGGAAGAGGAGAGUGGAAUUCCUGGUGUAGCGGUGAAAUGCGCAGAUAUCAGGAAGAACACCCGUGGCUAAGGCGGCUCUCUAGUACGGUACUGACGCUGAGACGCGAAAGCGUGGGGAGCAAACAGG